This 863-nucleotide unclassified non-coding RNA is filed under the name Hevea brasiliensis (rubber tree). The record is from RNAcentral. Lineage: Eukaryota; Viridiplantae; Streptophyta; Magnoliopsida; Malpighiales; Euphorbiaceae.
UAAAAACUUAAUUUUAUUGGAAUUACAGCGUGCACAUAUAUAAACAUCAAACAUAAUAUAAUUCCGUUAUUAUAAACAUAAAAUUAAUUAAAUAUAUACCUUUAUUAUUCAUAGAAGGAAUUAUUACGCAGAUGAAAAAUUUUACAUACAAAUAUUUUCUUUAAUUUAUAAUUUUAAAUCAAAUCACCUUUAUUCUUUUUAUAACUAAUUACUCCUUUUAAACGUUGACGAUUGUAUAAAAUAUACACAAUAAAAAAAAAAGAAAAAAAGUUAAGGUCAAAUUCAUAUAUUAUAUAUCACUCUAAAAUAUGAGGGAUUACGUUUGUAUAUAUUUUAUAGUUUCAAUCUAAAAUUGGUAGAAUAUAUAUGUGUACAUUUUUUAAUCUUAAUUAAUUUAGAGGCAUCUUAAUUUUUUAUAUAAUAUAUUAAUUCUUAAAAAAAUUUUAAAAAAUAGAAUUAUUAAAAUUUAUUUGUUAAAUAGAGUGGAUUUUUUUUUUAAAUUAUACAUAAAAAAAUAAAUUACGGAUAUGAACAACGAAGUGUAAUGUGUAACUCACGUUACUAGAAAAAUUAGGAGAAUGAACAAGACUAAAUAUUUUUGCUAGUAAAUAAUUAUAUCUAAAUAUUUUAAUUCUGAAACACAUAUCUGGCCUUUAAAUUGAGAACAAUUAUACAUUAAAUCUUAAUUCUAUAGCAACAAAGUGUAUUGGAUAUAAUUUUUUUAACAAAAUUCAUUUUUUCUAAAUUAAUUUUAAAGUUCGCCUACAAUUUUUUUUUUUCAAUUUUAAAGGUUAAUUUGCCAAUUAUCGAAAAGAUUUGACCUUUUAUCCGAUAUUUUUUUUGUGGUUGAAUCUAGGUCCAUG